Long non-coding RNA from Neofelis nebulosa (Clouded leopard), 3413 nucleotides. RefSeq lists it as uncharacterized. The transcript is spliced from 2 exons. The record is from RefSeq and is a predicted model, not a curated record. NCBI's taxonomy places the organism in Eukaryota, Metazoa, Chordata, Mammalia, Carnivora, Felidae.
CAGUGGAUCUCUAUAACAAGUAUUAUGUCUCUUAAACCCUACUUUAGAGGGUGAAAAUAAUCAAACACACAACUUAAUCUACGUUAAUUAUCCAAAAUGCUGAUUCCCCUUUAAACAUUUCAGACUGAUGACAUGAGCGGCUGCUAGCUGUUCCACUGUGUUGAGUAGUGAUUCUGCUCCUUAACUGCAAUUGUCCGCCUUGAAUGUUUCACAGCUGAGAAGAGGGAGGCAUGGAGAGUCUGGAUCACUAAAGCCAACCUGCCAGGCUUGCAAGAGGCAGAGCCAGGAGGAGACCCAGGCAGCCUGACUCCAGAAGCUAUGUUCCUAACUAAAGUCACACUGGGCAACACUGUACUGGGCCACCUUAUUGUCUACAUUUUCAUCCUUGAGGCAGAAAACAAGCGAAGGCUCUUCCAGGCACACAGCUUGUCCAUGCUCAGCCUCCCUUGCAUUUAUGCUAUAAGCAGACUGGUGUGCGUUAUUGGCAGAUCUUCCCAUAGAGCCGUCCCCUCCAAUAGCUGCCUUAGUGCUGUCCACCUGCCACAUAAAGGAGGAGGCCCUAGAAAUGGCAACAUGGAUGAAUGGACAGUCUGUGCACUUCAGAGACUGAAUGGAACCCAGGCCCUUCCAUCUCCACGCCAACCCCAGUCCACAAUGUCUAACCAUCCUGGCCUGUGACCAACGUGAGAAAGAAAUCAUUAUUAUGCUAAGCAGCUGAGAUGUGGGAGUAGGUUACUUUAACUAAUUCAACAGUGUUCCGGUCCUCUACAGCACUGACUGGCAGUUACAAUUUAUUUGUAUGUUAUUCACUUACUGCUGUCUUCUUUGCUCAAUUGUAAGCUCUGUGAGGGCAGCGACCAAAUCUAUUUCAUCUACUACCAUAGCUAAUAGCAAAUGCCCAGCCUGCAGCAAACACCCGGUAAUAUUUGUUAAUGGAAUAUUGGGAGGGCGGGAAAUGAAGGCAACUAAGUGAUCAGGGGUCAUGGUCACAAAGUGCUCCCACUGCCAGUGACAUGGGAACUGUGCUUAAUGAAAUUUAAGUCAAGAAUCAGAAAUGCUAGUGUCUUUAAGUGUAUUCUUAAAUGAAAACUUUAGGUUCAAAGGUUGUAUAUAUUCUUCCCCAAGAGAGGUAUUAAUAUAAAAUUAGAAUGCAGCACCAAAUUAUGUCCCUAGAUCUGGUAAAAGUCUACCCUGCAUGGCUCAUAGAAGGUUUGAACGGAGGGUGGGGUCCUAGAAACCCACACUCAGGUGGGAGGCCCCUGCCCUGUAGGACCACUCUCCUUUAACUGACUUACUGAAAACACACUGAGAAUCCUUUGAAACGGGGCUAUGGUCUCUCCCUGCUAUUAUAGCCUCCCCAAGACGAUACACUAAAUGAAUGGAAAAGAAAAUCUUCCUGAGAACCCACCAUGGACUAGCCACUAAUGUCAUUCACCUAAUUCCCCACAUCAAUCCUCUGGAACAAGUAAUGAAAUAAUCAUAACAAUAAUAACCAGAAAAAUAAUAAUUCUAGUUUCGACCUACUUUCUAUUAUGGACUAGGCAUAGACAAUGUCAUACAUGCUACAGAAUUUACUACAUUUAAUUAUUGCAACACAUCCAGGAAAUAAAUGCCAAGAAAUGUUAAGGUUCUGAGAUUUCACCCUACUUUUAACUAGCAAGUUAGCCUACCACAGUCUUUUGGAUGCUGGCAGAAGAUAUGCAAGCCCUGGGUCAGAGACAAAGUACCAUUUACUAUUCACAGUAAUAGCAAUAACCAGAGUCACAUCAUUUGUGCUGGUUUCUGGGGCCCCAAUUCUCACAGGGUGAUGUGAAGUAGGGCCAGAUAGAUGCUGUACACACUGUGGUUUGCAUUACAAAUGAAGGACCUUGAGUUUAGAAAACCCCAGGAUCUCAUAGGGCCUGCACACAUAUACCUUCCAAGCUCUAACAUGGACGGACAUUAUUUUUAUUUUCCUGGACAGAAAACAAAUCUUUCAUCUGCUCUAUAAGAAGAAACUUGUGUCUUCCACAGUGUUCAUAAUAUAAAUAUCCUUGAAAAAACCAGUCUGGAACAAAAGCUGAAUUAAUUUGUUCACAAAACAUGCAGAAAUGUGUCAGACCCAUGGAGAUUUGUUUCCUAUUUUACGAAUGUGAUAACAGGUCUAGAGCCAUUGAGUAAUUUCCCCAAUUAACUUACCAUGACUGGGAAGAAGAGAAGCAAGGAUUCCAACUCUGGUCUAACUACCUCUAAAAGCCACAUCCCAACUACCAUGCAACAUUUUUUUUCUAGGUUUUCAUGAGCAGGAGACCAGGACUUAAGGAAUUAAAGAUAAAGUCCCCCAAUGCUGAAGGAGAUUGUGAGGAAACUGAGAUUUGAGUCCACACCAUCCAACUCCAGACCUGGUGGUGUUACCACCACACUACAGCUACUGACCAAACAAACACCAGCAUACGUGAGUUUUUGGCAAUGCAGGCAAAGUGAACACAGCCAGGCAAAGUGAACACAGCCAGGAAAGGUGUGGAGAAAAUGGGAGGCACAAUUUACUCAGGUGAGGUGGGAAGGCCCCAUCAGGGUCAAAGGAGAGAGAGAGAGAGACAGAGGCAGAGAGAGAGAAGCUAAGAGGGUGUGACUGGACUUGAGCUUGAAGGUUGGUUUUUACUUUACAGUGUGUAGUUUCUGUGCAGCCAUCUAAUUCACAUGCAGAUUUUCAGUAUUGUGUUUGAUGGACAAAUCUUUUGAGAGCAGACUUACCUCUCCUUUUCAGAUGAGCUUACCCGCUUGCACCAUCCCAUAUUACAAUUGCCCCAGCUACCCAAAAGCUUAGGCAGGAUGGCCAAAACAAACAGAUCUCACCAGUCAUGGGAAUAUAGGCUCCAUCCUUGGAGGUUUGUAGGUGAUGUCUACAGGCUUUAAAAUGAAAUAAGCCAAACCUCCACAUAGGAAAAUGAGAAAAGAAUAUGAAAAGAGAACUCAUUAAAAAAAAAAAAAAAGACAAGACAAGGGAGAAAGGGGAAUGGCUUCUAAACCCAUAAAGAGAAGUGAGGGCCCCUCAGAGUAACUGAAACACAAAUUAAAAUCCCAUGGGGACACCAUUACUCAGCUGUCAGAUUGGCAAAAUCCAACACUUCGACCACUCAGUCACUUUCUUGGGAUGCCAGGAAGCAGACACUCCUUAUGUUGCUACUGUUAUAAAGAGUUACUCAUUGCAGCAUUAUGCAAUGGCAAAAGAUUGGUUACAACCUAGGGGGCAAUGAAAUAACUGAUUAAGUAGAGUCCAUUCAUAUAAUGGAAUACUCUUCAGCUAGUAUUUAAAAAAAAAUGAAGGAGCUCUUUGUGCACUCAUAUGGGAAGAUAACCAAAAUCUAUUAUUAAUGGUAAAAAAAAAAAAAAAGCAAAUGAGUAUAUUAUGCAACAUUUUGUGCAAUAAAUGG